This 9162-nucleotide long non-coding RNA is filed under the name Malus domestica (apple). Its description in RNAcentral is "long non-coding RNA (MDOM_LNC020563)". Lineage: Eukaryota; Viridiplantae; Streptophyta; Magnoliopsida; Rosales; Rosaceae. The record is from RNAcentral.
AUUGUGACUAGCAACCUUCACUACUUGUGAAUAUAAGUUCAUAACGAUUAGGUGAAACUCCCUUAUAUUCUAGCGUCAAAUUCAUGCAUGAAAAUUAAGCGUGCACUCUCAACCAACAUACACAAAUCAGUUUUUAUACGAACGGAUAAGUAAAUUGAAUUCACAACUGGAUGUAAUCAAAUCAUAUUGCAAGCAUGAACAUAGUUUCAAAUCACCCCCUAACUAAGAGGGGUUUAGUUCCUCAUACUUACAAAGCAAAGAUGCAUAACUUUAGACAUUAAAAACAAAGAUAGAAAACACCUAGAAACACUCCAACACUCCCAAGGCUUGGGCAUAGGCACGGCACAAGAUGUUCCUUCUCUUUCCUUCCUUGCAAGCAGCGGCACUAGAGGUUUUGGACGGUUUUGGGUGGUUUUUAUGGUGUAGAAUGGAUGGGGAAUGGUAUGGAAAGGUUUAGGAUUGAUGGGUGGUGUGGCUAGGGGUGGUUUUUGGCUGAAAUUAGAGAGAAUGGUGGUGGGAAGUUUCGGCCAAAGCAAGGAGAAAAUCUGUUAUGUUGAUGAAUAUGGGAGGUGGUAUUUAUAGGCUUGAGAGAGGACCACUCCAUUUCCUUUGCAUGUGCAGCUUGUGUGGGUGUGUGUUGUCAUGUUUCCCCUUUACAUUUACACACACAUGCUUCAUCAUUUCAACCACCAAACACACACAUUUUCUGCCAUGUUUUCCUUUACAUUUACACACACAUGCUUCAUCAUUUCAACAACAAAACACACACAAUUCCUACCCAUGUGUGUGUGUUUCCUUUGCCCAUGUGUGUGUGUUUUUCCUUUGCAUUUGCAGACACAUGUUCUUCAUUAUUUCAGCCAACAAUCCACCCAUUUUCUGCCCAUGUGUGUGUGUUUCCUUUGCCCAUGUGUUGCCUUUCUCUUUUUAUUAGCCAAAUCUGCUUAGCCCUUUUCUGACCUUUUAGUGUUACAAUGCCCAUAACUUCUUCUAGAAAAAUGAGAUUAACAAUCCGUAAAUUGCUCCAGAAAAUAGACAUCCGUAGCUUUCCACGCAUAUAAGGUUCAUUCUCUCAUUCAUUCUGAACUGUUUGUAACAUGCUUCCAAAGUCAGAUAAUCUGCACAGGCAGUUUUGACGAAUUUGUUACUUAAUAAUUCACUUGUGCUACUUUUCUUUUCUUUGCUUGAUAAAUCACACAAAACACAAAAACAUAGUAAAUAGCUCAAAAAUAUAAGGAACUAACUGAGAAAAGACAAGUGAAUUUUAUGUAAAUAUAUAUAAAUAUGAGCUUAUCACCUACCCCCACACUUAGCUUUUGCAAGUCCUCGAGCAAAAUAAAGAAAACAAAACACAACCUAAACCUUCCAACGUUUGCCUUAGGGAUUUCCAACGCACAUGACAUGUUAAAAAUCAUUAUCCCCACAAAUUUGAGUCAUCUUCACACUUAAGCACAUACUUAAUCAUAGUCACCACGUACUAGUUCACAUUUAACCAAUUAAAAUAUGAUUUUGAAUGUAGUAACCUUAGAGAAUUUUCUCAAGUCCUUACAAGAUAUUCACUCAAUUUUCACUCAGAUUUUCUAACUACACACCCUAUACUAGUUAUAUGUGAGAAGAUUGAUGUAAACAUGAAAACGAACGCUCACAUAUAUGUAUUACAAAGAAAGCGAUUUCUGGAGUUAUUAAGCAUGUUUAGAUAUGAUCUCAUGAAUGGAAUGCUACUACUUAGAUGCGAGAACCAGUGACACCAUAUGCUCAUACCAAAUUCAAACUCCACAAAUUGAAACACAUAACACUCAAGAUUGAAGUCAAAGGUUGUAACGGGGCUUGGGGUGUUGGCUAACAAAUGAAGGUAAGGGAAAACAAACGUUCUUAAAGCAAUAGCAAAUAAAGUAAUGAACUUGAAACUUAGAAUUCACUUAGAUUGCAGAAAUCAACUUUUAGACAUAAGGGAAAGAUUUAAACAACUCUUAGGGUCAAAUUCAACUUUUUUUUUUUUUUUUUCUUUGGAUGAAUUUUUCUUUUCUUUUCUUUCCACCCGUGCCUAUGGCACACUACUUACAUGAGAAACACUUCCCCCAUACUUAUUUUCUGCCAUACAUAAUCAAAAGGAAUUCAAUUUGAAUCAUGCUUUACUAUGCUUUCAGAACAAGGGUAUGAAUGUCCUAAUCUAGGCUAGGUGGAGAUGAUGUGAUUAACAAAGAAAAACGGGCUAAACAAGGUUCAACGGGGUUAACUUAAACAUAUAAUGAAGUAGGAUACACGGCAAUUUGGCUUUGGAGGUGGUAACUACACAACUUCAUCUUGAAUAUGUGUUAUGCAAAUCAAUAUCAUGCUUUGAAUGAAAUGGGCAUGAGUUCUAGCAUUUGGAACUAAAUGAUGAAACGCCUUCUAAGUAGUAACCAAGCAAAGAAUAAUGAGAUCAUGCAACGACUUAGAAAACAAUAAUGCACAGAUUAUCAACUCUCCAAAUAACGUUUAGGCUCAAGUCUCACAAGGUUGUAGCGUUUGUUUGAGUUCCUUCCUUCAAGCAUGUUACAAAAACUAAUUUUUCCUUUAUGAUUGCAUGUGAAUUCAUAAAUUAUAACCACAACCAAGCAUACACCAAAGAGUAAAUCAAAUGUUCAUCCAUGUUUAUAACUCUCUUUAACAGUCAUGUAAUUAAAAACCAAAUCCUCAUCAUUGUGUUGGAAGGUACCCUAAGACACAAAUAAACAUACAAAAACAACUCUUUUUAGGUUUUUCAAAACAAUUUUUCAAAUUUUUAUGAGAUUUUUCGGAUUUUUAUAUCAAAACAAACUAAAACACUUCAAAACAGCUUAAAAACACUUAAAAGAGCAAGAAACAACAUUAGAAGUAAUGGGUGAUAAACUCCUACAACUUUCAUGCAAAACAAUGGUUACCCCCCCACACUUGAAUCAAACAUUGUCCUCAAUGUUUCAAGUAUAAACUCACACAAAAACAAGCAAAUAAACAAAUAACGAAUAAACAUGACAAGUAUAGCAAGGUAAAAACAAGAAAGAGUAGAGUUUAGGAACGCAAAUCUGGUUAUGGAGGUAGAUGAUCUUGUUGCCUUUCCACAGCUUUGAUCUUGAACUGGAUUGGAAUUGUACGGUGAAACUUUGCUCUUUGGCGAUGUUGUUGAAGCUUCUUGAGUUCUUCAACUCAGACUCCUUCUGCUCUCGAGUUGAUUGUGCAGGCUCAAUUCCUUAUUUGUUCUCCAAGCAGAUGUGGCAGCUUUUCUAGUUCUUCAACUCAGACUCCUUAUGCUGGGUUGAUUGUGCAAGCUGCAUUCUUCUCUGCUUGUUUCUUCUGCACGUUGUCUCCACAUGCUGCUAGUAUCAUUUUCGCUUGCCUUAUCUGUUCUUCAGGUAGAUGUGGCAGCUUCUUUGGAAGUACAUCAGCAGUGGAAGACGAGUACUCGAGAUCAAUUUCUCAAUGUCCUGCAGGUUAGAACAAAGACAAGGAAAAGGACAUGGAGAAUGCAUGAUAUGAGAUACUCUUGCUUUCAACCUUCAUGAUAUGAAAUACUUUUGCUUUGGAUAGGUUGUUUGCAGAGGUACCCCAAGGAAUAAGGAACACUGAGUGACUCGAGAGGGUUUGUUGGAAAGGCAUUCUCGGAGAUGAAGGAAGGUUAUGUAUGUCUGCCUUGCCAUGGAGGGUAAAGGUCGAAAUUUAUAGGAAAUAAUAACUGGUACUGUCCUUUCACUCCUGUCGGCAACCGUUUGAUGAUUGAACAGUAAACUUCACGUGUUUUCUACUUCAACAGAAAUCGUCGACAGAUUGCCCGUGAUUUCCUCAAAGCUGACGAGGCUGAGAAAGACAGAUGGUUGGAAUCGGCGCUUCGACAAACUGCCCGUGAUUUCUGCAAAGCUUUCUCUGCAUGUGACAAGUGCUGACGAGGCUGAGAGAGACAGAUGGUUGGAAUCGGCGCUUCGACAAACUGCCCAUGAUUUUCGCAAAGCUGAGUUUGCGUGUGACGGGUGCUGACGAGGAUGAGAAAGCUGACACUCUUCGAUAACUGGAAUCGGUGGUUUGUGAGCAAGCCCAACUUUUGAGAAAGCUGGCGCUCUUCGAUAUCUGGAAUCGGUGGUUUGUGAGCAAGCCCAACUUUUGAGAAAGCUGGCACUCUUCAAUUUUUGAAUUGGCUUCUUCGAUUUCUGAGCUCGCCUCUUCAAUCUCUGAAAUCCCAUCGCGUGCUGAUUUUUAUAGAGGUAUGCUGGACGUUCAAAGCACACUUGAAUUUCUGCCUGUAAGAACUCCCGUUUUGCACUUCUACGAUCUUAACUUGUCCGAUCUCCUCUUUCUUUAACACCUCUGAAAAUGUCUGGCCCUUCCGACCGUCGUUUUGACUUGAACCUUGGUGAAGAGGUAGCCCCGCCUUCUCCAGACAACAUAUGGCGCCCAUCCUUCAUAUCCCCUACUGGUCCCCUUACCGUUGGGGAUUCGGUGAUGAAGAAUGAUAUGACAGCUGCGGUGGUGGCCAGGAACCUUGUCACUCCCAAAGAUAACGGACUACUUGUCAAACGGUCUGAUGAGUUGGCUGUUAAGGAAUCUCUGGCUCUCAGUGUGCAGUGCGCAGGUUCCGUGUCCAAUAUGGCCCAACGCCUAUUUGCCCGAACCCGUCAAGUUGAAUCAUUGGCGGCUGAAGUGAUGAGUCUCAAGCAGGAGAUUAGAGGGCUUAAGCAUGAAAAUAAACAAUUGCACAAACUCGCACACAACUAUGCCACAAACAUGAAGAGGAAAAUUGACCAGAUGCAGGAAUCUGAUGGUCAGAUCUUACUUGAUCAUCAGAGGUUUGUGGGCUUGUUCCAACAGCAUUUGCCUUCGUCUUCUAGGGCUGUAUCGCGUACUGAAGCUCCAAAUGAUCAACCUCCGCUGCCUCCUCCUUCUGGGGCUCCGCCGACUGCUGAGGCUCCGCCGACUACUGAGACUUCUUCUAAGCAGCCUUUGUGAAGGCUCCCUCUUGUAAUUUUUUGCUUAAUGUUCCUUUUUUUUUUUUUUUUAUGAAAAUGAAUGUAAGAAUAUCUUGUAUAUCUAUCAAUGUUUCAAAAAUAAAUCCACACCCAAAAAUAAUUAAAUAAACAACAAAAAAAAAUGACAAUCAUGGCAAAAUAGAAAUGCAGAAAAGGGAAGGUUUUUAGAAACGCAAAACUGAUUGUAAAGCGAUUCAUAGAUCUUCCUUUUUUGAAUACAUGGGUUGCCUCCCAAGAAGCGCUUGCUUUAACGUCGUGCAGCCGGACGAAAAGCUCAAUUACUCCCCAAUGGAGUCCACGGCAUGCUCCUUGAAAUAUUCAUACUUUGGCUCUAUGAAAGGAAGGGAGUAGUAAUCCCUCAUGAUUGGGGCGUUUUGCUUCCAAAAAUCAAUGUACACUUCCCCACUACCUUGCAUUUGAUUAGGUACCUGCACCAAAGAAGGUAACAACCUAUUAAUUGAAAUUGGAAUCGAAAUUGGACUAGGUGGCUUACCAAUGUGCUGUGAUGGAGUGGCAGCAGUGUGAACAUUCUUUCCCAUGGUGCUUUCGGCCAAUUUGAGCAUUUUGAGGGCAGUGGCCGUAUAGUCCUUGUGCUCCACUCCAAUUCCCUCGUCUUGCAUGGUUCCUGAUGCAUCCUUUGUGCUUGGUGCUGAACGGUCCGGACCUAUCUUUUUUAUUUUAUCAAUGGCACAACAAGAAUGAACAACAUUAGUAGUCUCAAUGGAUUCAGAAAUUUUAAAACUAAUCAUGUCACCACCAAAUGCCAUAGUUACUAAUCCUUUGGCCAUAUCAAUCUUGGUUUGAGCCGUUUUCAUGAACGGUCGUCCAAGUAAGAGUGGUGAUGGUGGAGAGUGGGUUGAAUCCUCCAUAUCAAGCACGUAGAAAUCCGCCGAAAAGAUUAAGUGAUCAACCUGCACAAGAACAUCUUCCAAAACUCCCUUUGGAUAGGCGUUAGAUCUAUCGGCCAAUUGUAUGAUUACACCAUCAUUUUUCAACUUGCCUAAGUUCAUAGAUGCAUAAAUUGAAUAGGCAUAACAUUUAUUGAAGCACCUAAAUCUAACAUGGCAGAUUCAAAACGAGUGUUACCAAUGACACAAGGAAUUGUAAAACUACCCGGAUCUUUACAUUUGGGGGGUAGUUUUCGUUGCAAGAUGGCAGAGACAUUCUCACUUACAUGUACCACUUCUUUCUCCCGAAAACGCUUCUUUGUUGUACAAAGCUUUUUCAAAAACUUGGCAUACUUCGGGAUUUGCUUGAUUGCAUCCAAAAGAGGUAUCUUGACUUGAACUUUCCUAAAUGUCUCUAGAACAUCUUUUUCCUCCUCUUCGUUUUUGGAUUGCAAAAAUCUGCUAGGAAAUGGUACAUUGGGUGGAAUAACAUUAGUAUAAACCGAAUUGGACACAUUAUUGCCUUUGUUGAACAAAUUGGAUUGUGGUUGUGCCAUGGGAACCGGCGGCAAAGGUGUUUCCACCCUUGCCGUGGGUUGGUUUGAUUCUUCCUCCUCAAUUUGAAGUUUCUCAUCCUCUUUGUGACCUGUUUUUUAUGAAGAACCUGCCCCAACCUCCUUGCCACUUCUUAGGGUGAUCGCGUUGGCUGUUUCAAACCCUCCCUUUGGAUUUUGAAUGGUUGAACUAGGGAGUUGGCCUGGGUCUCGAAAUUUGCUCACAAAGUCUGCAAUCUGCCCAAUUUGUUUCUCCAAUUGAUCCACCCUUUUGUCUUGGUUUUGCAUUGCUUUGGCUUGAUUUUCUUGCCCCUGAGACAAGUUAGUUAGUAACUUAAGGAGUGUAUCAUUUUCUAGAGAUGUACUUGAAGCAUUUGGGGCAAAUUGUUGUGGAACAUGUGGGGGUGCGUAUGGCUUGGUGAAAAACCCCGGGGGUUGUUGCCUAAAGCCUCCUUGUUGUUGGGGUUGUUGGGCCUCCCUGGGUAAUCAUUGUUGUUGGGGUUGUUGGGCUUCCCUCCACUUGAAGUUUGGAUGGUCUCUCCAACCUGGAUUAUAUGUGUUUGAAUAUGAAUCGUUCCUCGGUUGGUUUUGUGAUGUGAGAAUUACUUGACACACAAAUUAAACCCUCUUUUUAUCAAAUGUAGUAAAGUAUGUAAGUAGGGUAUCGUUCUAGGCCGGGGAUUAGGAGGGAUUGCUAAUCUAUUCUAAAUUAAUUCAAAAAUAUUAAACAAGACUCAAGGACAUAAACUAGGCUAAAAACUCUAAUAACUCGAAACACACUUAGAAUGACUCAACAUAAUGAAAACAAUCAAUUUAGACACUAGGAACUGAAAUGGACGGAAAUUGAAUUAAAAGACUAACAACAAUGAAAACUAACUAAAUAAUAUAAUUUAAUAAUGGGGGGUGUUUGGUUUUGACGAGAAGUAAAUUAAACUUAAAUAAAUUAUUACAGAAUUGACAAAAGCAUAAAAUUAAGGUGAAAGGAUAGGUGACGGACUAGCUAGAGGGUUCUUCUCCACACAUGACACAUAUGCAACCUAAAUUGAUUUUCAGUUGUUCUUUCAAUAAAUUGUAAAUCUCAACGCCCCAAAUUAACCGUGAAUUGCACUAAUUAACCCUUCAAUUUUUUCCACAAGUUAUUGGGUUGGAUGAUUGCAAAUACGACAACCCAAAACAUUUCCUACAAGUUCCCUACAUGAAAAGCAUAAUAGAGAUACAAGCAAGAAUCAUUAAGUUUAUGAAAAACAUAAAGCAUUGACGAGGCACUUCGUUAACUAUGAAUUUGCAUGAAACUCUAUGCCAAGAAUUUACUUAACGUGAUUGUGACUAGCAACCUUCACUACUUGUGAAUAUAAGUUCAUAAUGAUUAGGUGAAACUCACUUAUAUUCUAGCAUCAAAUUCAUGCAUGUAAAUUAAGUAUGCAUCCUUAAUCGACAUACAAAAAUAAGUUAUCAAUCAAGCAAUUAAGCAAAUUAAAUCACAACUCAGAAAUCACAACUGAAGGUAAUCAAUUCAUAUUACAAAUAUAUUCAUGGCUUUGAAUUAACCUCUAGCCAAAAUAAAUUUAGUUACACAUUAUUAUCAAAUUAAACCAAAAGUAAAACAUAAGUUGGAAAGAUUUAACCGAAAGAGGAGAGUGCUCUGUCCGUGCCUUUUCUUGAUCUCUCCGCAUGUCCUCACUUCCCCCUGCUGUCCUCACCUUCGGUUUCUGCUUUCCUCGCUGCCCAAGGCAGCCAAGCCUUUUAUUCCUCCUGCCCCCUUUGUCCUCUGCCCGUCUUUCCCCUCUCCCUCUAUUAUUUUUCUGUUCCGCGCCUCUUGGCUGUCCCUGUGCUUCCGCUGCCCAAGCAGCCUUCUCCUUCUUUUUUUUUUUUUUUUCUUUCCGUUCUGACUCUCUUUCACGCUGCCAAAGGCAGCCUUUCUCCUCUCCUCUCUGACCUCGCUGCCAAAGGGCAGCGUUCUCCUUCUUUUUAUUUUUUUUUCUUUCCGUUCUGACUCUCUUUCACGCUGCCAAAGGCAGCCUUUCUCCUCUCCUCUCUGACCUCGCUGCCAAAGGGCAGCGUUCUCCCCCUGCCUUCUGCGCUCAGUUUUCUCAUAUAUGCCCGCUGCCCACCUACCACGCUGCACUCAGCAGCUUUCAUUUAUUCUUUUCUUCGUGCUCCACUCAUUCUUUUGUUUUCUUUUGUUCCACCCAGGCAGCCAAGUGCUGCUUUUCCUCUUUUAUUUUAUUCUUCUUUUUGGUAGCCUUGCUGCUUCUUUUCUUUGUGUGUUACUCACCAUUCCACCUGAAACAUCUUUAAGUUUAAUAAAAACCCCAGUGCAAACUCUGAUUCCAACCUGACAAAAUUUAGUGAGUAAAUAACAAGUUUGUGCCAUUUUUAUUUUCUUUGCAUAACAAAUCCUAUAAACACAAAAAUAACGUAAAUAGCUCAAAAAUAUAAGGAACUAACUAAGAAAAGACGAGUGAAUUUGAAGUAAAAAUAUAUAUAAAUAUGAUCCGAUCAAAUACCCCCAUACUUAGCUUUUGCUAGUCCUCGAGCAAAACAAAGAAAACAUGAAAAAGUACUAACAUGAAAAACAUUAGUUUCCCCCUUAUGUGACCCUCAUAGAAUUUCAUUCGAGAAAACAAAUCAUCAAGAACCAUAGCUAGCACCAAACAAACUAAUCCAAAUUCAUCUUCCUUAUUCAAAUAUUAGCAGUAAUCUUUGAAUCAUCCUUGAAGUGUAGUGUGUGAGAUAGCCAUGCUAAUG